AGCUAGAAGAAUAAGAAGAAGAGUAAGAAUGAGAGGGGGAGCUCAAAGAGGAGAUGAAGGAGGAAGAGGAGGAUAAUUAGGAAGAGGCCUAGGUAGAGGAAGAGGAGAAGGAGAAUAAGGAAGAGGCCUAGGUAGAGGAAAAGGAGAAGGAGGUGGAGGAAGAGGUAGAGAAGGACUUGAAGAGUUGAUAGAACCUGAACAAAGAAGACGAGGACCAAAUUUGACUCAAGAAAUCCGUGCAACACUUACUGACCAUGUUAUCAACUAUGGACUGACACUGAUGGAAGCUGGACAAAGUUCAACCAAAUCUCAGUAAAAAUACUGUUGCGUAAGUAAUUCGGACAUUUCAUCGAGAAAACAGGAUUGAGGGUCGAGGACACCAAGGUGGAAGGGGCCCUAUGUUCACUCGUGCACAAUUGUUGAAUCCUCAAGAAAAAUCAAAUAUACAUGAAGCAACUGUAUCGGGUACCAUUUGACUGAAAUUCAGAGAGUGUGAAACAUCGGUGCAAUGAGUAUUUGGAGAGAUUCUUGCAAAUGGAUGCUGCAGAAAUUCUACAUGAAUUUAUAUAUGCGGAUGAGGCUGGAUUUAACCUUGCGAAAACAAGAAGAGGGAGUAAUAUAAUUUGACACAGGGCAAUCACCAAUGUUCCAGGGCAUCGAGGGGCAUGGCAGUGGAAGGUGGACCUGUGGCCCUAUGACCAUUUGCCCUUCGUUCAGGCCAUGGAGCAGGCCUGUGAUCAUAUCGAAGCAGCUUCUGUGCAGGGGUGGAUUCGUCACAUGAGGCGAUUCUUCCAAUGGUGCCUUGCUAAUGAAGACAUAGCCUAUGAUGUGGAUGAAAUCUUAUGGCCUGAUCCAGCCAGACAGAGAUGAUGAAUAGUUACAGUAUUCUUUUUGCUUUUUACAUGGUUUUUCUUCAGAGUCAAAGUGUAUGUACUUCAUGCAGUAAUUUUUAUUUGUCUACAGAUUUUGUUUAAUUGAUUUCAUUGUAACUGAUUAUGGUAAGAAAUACUGUAAGUAUUGUCUGUAACAUCAGUGUUGUGCAGUGUUUGGUAAGUUUAUAGUAGGCUUAUUUGUAUACAUUCUCCCUAUAUCUCAAACUAUUUAUGAAGAAUGUUGUGGGUUUUUCACUUUUUUUUUUUUUUUUCAUCUAAAUUAUCCCUUUACAUAACAAUGGCUGGCCAAAAAUCUAGCACAUGCUAUUUCCUAAAAUUAUUUAUUUAUUUAUUUUUUUUUUACAAAUGUUUAUUUAUCACAGCAGUGUGAAACUGGCUGCAAUUGUGUCUGAUCAUUGAGGACUGUGUUGGUUAAAUGAAAACUAAUAGCAUUUUCACAAAUAUGUGUAUAUGUUUUGACUGACGUGUGUAAUUUUGCAAACAAUCUAGGAAUUAUGCAAAUUGAGUGUGGUGUUUGGAUAAUUGUGAUUAUAUUUUUAAAAAAAG
This is a long non-coding RNA of Cyprinus carpio carpio, 1439 nucleotides long. The record is from Ensembl. Lineage: Eukaryota; Metazoa; Chordata; Actinopteri; Cypriniformes; Cyprinidae.